This 584-nucleotide ribosomal RNA is filed under the name Klebsiella sp. KKWB-5. Its description in RNAcentral is "bacterial SSU rRNA". It matches the Rfam family "Bacterial small subunit ribosomal RNA", at positions 33 to 608 of the family's 1533-position model. The record is from RNAcentral. Lineage: Bacteria; Pseudomonadati; Pseudomonadota; Gammaproteobacteria; Enterobacterales; Enterobacteriaceae.
ACGCUGGCGGCAGGCCUAACACAUGCAAGUCGAGCGGUAGCACAGAGAGCUUGCUCUCGGGUGACGAGCGGCGGACGGGUGAGUAAUGUCUGGGAAACUGCCUGAUGGAGGGGGAUAACUACUGGAAACGGUAGCUAAUACCGCAUAACGUCGCAAGACCAAAGUGGGGGACCUUCGGGCCUCAUGCCAUCAGAUGUGCCCAGAUGGGAUUAGCUGGUAGGUGGGGUAACGGCUCACCUAGGCGACGAUCCCUAGCUGGUCUGAGAGGAUGACCAGCCACACUGGAACUGAGACACGGUCCAGACUCCUACGGGAGGCAGCAGUGGGGAAUAUUGCACAAUGGGCGCAAGCCUGAUGCAGCCAUGCCGCGUGUGUGAAGAAGGCCUUCGGGUUGUAAAGCACUUUCAGCGGGGAGGAAGGCGGUGAGGUUAAUAACCUCAUCGAUUGACGUUACCCGCAGAAGAAGCACCGGCUAACUCCGUGCCAGCAGCCGCGGUAAUACGGAGGGUGCAAGCGUUAAUCGGAAUUACUGGGCGUAAAGCGCACGCAGGCGGUCUGUCAAGUCGGAUGUGAAAUCCCCGGGC